ACAGGAUUGGGUAACAUUAUUCGCCUAUAUAAGCUCUCUCCAAAUAUGCUUGGAUAAGGAACAUUCUUAAAUAUAAAGCGAUAUCUAUCCAGAUAGGACCGGAAACAGGAAUUCGGAGAAUGGAUGAUGACAGAAAGGAUUGUUUUAGAAACCAAGCUCCAUUGAUAGCUACAGAGAGCGUUGUCAGCGUCGAAAGAAUGAGUGAAUCGCCAAACAGCACAUGGGAACAUGAAGACCAGACAAGACCAGAUCAUCCGGGUCCUUUGUAUGGAGGAAUGUUGAGAAAAGUCUAAGAUGUCAAAUAUGUAAUCUAGGAUCGUAUAAUUGUUUUGUAUAAGCACGCGUAUUUAGAUCGUCGGCUUUUGGAUAUAAGACGUUAGGAAAGUGUAAUAUUGUGUACAUUACUACAUUGAUAAAUGAUACAUGUUGUACAUUACUACAUUGAUAAAUGUAAUAUUGUGUACAUUACUACAUUGAUAAAUGUAAUAUGGUGUACAUAACUACAUUGAUAAAUGUAAUAUGGUGUACAUUACUUCAUUGAUAAAUGAAAUAUUGUGUACAUUACUACAUUGAUAAAUGUAAUAUGGUGUAAAUUACUACAUUGAUAAAUGAAAUAUUGUGUACAUUACUACAUUGAUAAAUGAUACAUGGUGUACAUUACUACAUUGAUAAAUGAUACAUGGUGUACAUUACUACAUUGAUAAAUGUAAUAUUGUGUACAUGACUACAUUGAUAAAUGUAAUAUGGUGUACAUUACUUCAUUGAUAAAUGUUAUAUGGUGUACAUUACUACAUUGAUAAAUGUAAUAGGUGUACAUGAAUACAUUGAUAAAUGUUAUAUGGUGUACAUGAAUACAUUGAUAAAUGAUACAUGGUGUACAUUACUACAUUGAUAAAUGUAAUAUGGUCUACAUUACUUCAUUGAUAAAUGACGGGUGGCGCCUGGCCUCCUUUAAUGCCAUUAUGGUUUUUGCUAAAAAAAAAAAUACGUUUUAAUUCUAAAAUAUAUUAUAUAAAUGUUAAAAGUUUCUGUUUAUAAUAAACGGCUGCCCCCUUUUAUC
Pecten maximus is the source of this 1060-nucleotide long non-coding RNA. RefSeq lists it as uncharacterized. The record is from RefSeq and is a predicted model, not a curated record. NCBI's taxonomy places the organism in Eukaryota, Metazoa, Mollusca, Bivalvia, Pectinida, Pectinidae. The transcript is spliced from 3 exons.